AUACGGAGGGGGCAAGCGUUGCUCGGAAUUACUGGGCGUAAAGGGCACGUAGGCGGACCGACUAGUCAGGCGUGAAAGCCCCGGGCUCAACCUGGGAACUGCGCUUGAAACUGUCGGUCUAGAGUCCCGGAGAGGGUAGCGGAAUUCCCAGUGUAGCGGUGAAAUGCGUAGAUACUGGGAGGAACACCAGUGGCGAAGGCGGCUACCUGGACGGGUACUGACGCUGAGGCGCGAAAGCGUGGGGAGCAAACAGGAUUAGAAACCCCAGUAGUCC
This 274-nucleotide ribosomal RNA is filed under the name uncultured bacterium. RNAcentral describes it as "partial 16S ribosomal RNA". It matches the Rfam family "Bacterial small subunit ribosomal RNA", at positions 523 to 796 of the family's 1533-position model. The record is from RNAcentral.